GAUGAACGCUGGCGGCGUGCCUAAUACAUGCAAGUCGAGCGAACAGACGAGGAGCUUGGUCCUCUGACGUUAGCGGCGGACGGGUGAGUAACACGUGGAUAACCUACCUAUAAGACUGGGAUAACUUCGGGAAACCGGAGCUAAUACCGGAUAAUAUAUUUAACCGCAUGGUUCAAUAGUGAAAGACGGUUUUGCUGUCACUUAUAGAUGGAUCCGCGCCGCAUUAGCGAGGUGGUAAGGUAACGGCUUACCAAGGCGACGAUGCGUAGCCGACCUGAGAGGGUGAACGGCCACACUGGAACUGAGACACGGCCCAGACUCCGACGGGAGGCAGCAGUAGGGAAUCUUCCGAAAUGGGCGAAAGCCUGACGGAGCAACGCCGCGUGAGUGAUGAAGGUCUUCGGAUCGUAAAACUCUGUUAUUAGGGAAGAACAAAUGUGUAAGUAACUAUGCACGUCUUGACGGUACCUAAUCAGAAAGCCACGGCUAACUACGUG
This 497-nucleotide ribosomal RNA is filed under the name uncultured bacterium. Its description in RNAcentral is "partial 16S ribosomal RNA". It matches the Rfam family "Bacterial small subunit ribosomal RNA", at positions 28 to 507 of the family's 1533-position model. The record is from RNAcentral.